Molecule: ribosomal RNA, 62 nt
Filed under: Lespedeza thunbergii subsp. formosa
Lineage: Eukaryota; Viridiplantae; Streptophyta; Magnoliopsida; Fabales; Fabaceae
Description: partial 26S ribosomal RNA
Rfam family: Eukaryotic large subunit ribosomal RNA
Source: RNAcentral
GAGACCUCGGGUCAGGCGGGGCUACCCACUGAGUUUAAGCAUAUCAAUAAGCGGAGGAAAAG